Small nucleolar RNA from Sarcophilus harrisii (Tasmanian devil), 73 nucleotides. Lineage: Eukaryota; Metazoa; Chordata; Mammalia; Dasyuromorphia; Dasyuridae. The record is from Ensembl.
CUGUGAUGAAACAGAACCUCAACAGCUGGAAUUACCGGCAGACUGUUAGUGGUGACGGGGUUUUGUUCUGAUU